Molecule: ribosomal RNA, 591 nt
Filed under: uncultured archaeon
Lineage: Archaea
Description: bacterial SSU rRNA
Rfam family: Archaeal small subunit ribosomal RNA
Source: RNAcentral
CGUACGGCUCAGUAACACCUAUUCAACCUGCCCUGGAGACCCGAACAACCCCGGGAAACUGGGAUUAAUGCGGGAUAGGUCAUCUCAUCUGGAAGGAGAGAUGGCCGAAAGGGGUGCGCGGGCUUCUUCCGUGUACUUGUUCCAGGAUGGGACUGCGACCGAUCAGGCUGUUGGCGAGGUAAUGGCUCACCAAACCAGUAACCGGUACGGGCCUUGAGAGAGGGGGCCCGGAGAUGGACACUGAGAGAAGGGUCCAGGUCCUACGGGGCGCAGCAGGCGCGAAACCUUCGCAAUGCGCGAAAGCGUGACGAGGUUAAUCCGAGUGGUCCCCGCUGAGGGGAUCUUUUGUCGGCUGUAAAAAGGCCGGUGAAUAAGGGGAGGGCAAGUCUGGUGUCAGCCGCCGCGGUAAUACCAGCUCCUCGAGUGGUCGGGGCGAUUAUUGGGCCUAAAGCAUCCGUAGCCGGUUCCGUAGGUCUUCUGUCAAAUCCAACGGCUCAACCGUUGGCCCGCAAAAGAUACCGCGGGACUAGGAGGCGGGAGAGGUGUGCGGUACUCCUCGUGUAGGGAUAAAAUCCUUUGAUUCGUGGAAUA